CCCACCGCGGUGCCUGACCAGUUCUUGUGGGCGGGUGCAGCGCAGCGGUGAGCUGGCAGUAAGCCCCAGCUUUUAGGAAACAGGCUUGUUUUUCCUGUGGGCGACUCUGUGUCAAAAGCACGGGGACAGGC
Molecule: small nucleolar RNA, 131 nt
Organism: Jaculus jaculus (lesser Egyptian jerboa)
Lineage: Eukaryota; Metazoa; Chordata; Mammalia; Rodentia; Dipodidae
Source: Ensembl